Molecule: ribosomal RNA, 440 nt
Filed under: uncultured Novosphingobium sp.
Lineage: Bacteria; Pseudomonadati; Pseudomonadota; Alphaproteobacteria; Sphingomonadales; Sphingomonadaceae
Description: bacterial SSU rRNA
Rfam family: Bacterial small subunit ribosomal RNA
Source: RNAcentral
CCUACGGGAGGCAGCAGUGGGGAAUAUUGGACAAUGGGCGAAAGCCUGAUCCAGCAAUGCCGCGUGAGUGAUGAAGGCCUUCGGGUCGUAAAGCUCUUUUACCAGGGAUGAUAAUGACAGUACCUGGAGAAUAAGCUCCGGCUAACUCCGUGCCAGCAGCCGCGGUAAUACGGAGGGAGCUAGCGUUGUUCGGAAUUACUGGGCGUAAAGAGUACGUAGGCGGCUAUUCAAGUCAGAGGUGAAAGCCCGGGGCUCAACCCCGGAACUGCCUUUGAAACUAGAUAGCUAGAGUCUUGGAGAGGUUAGUGGAAUUCCGAGUGUAGAGGUGAAAUUCGUAGAUAUUCGGAAGAACACCAGUGGCGAAGGCGACUAACUGGACAAGUACUGACGCUGAGGUACGAAAGCGUGGGGAGCAAACAGGAUUAGAUACCCUAGUAGUC